RNAcentral lists this ribosomal RNA (1273 nucleotides) under Blattabacterium punctulatus. RNAcentral's name for it is "bacterial SSU rRNA". It matches the Rfam family "Bacterial small subunit ribosomal RNA", at positions 56 to 1316 of the family's 1533-position model. Lineage: Bacteria; Pseudomonadati; Bacteroidota; Flavobacteriia; Flavobacteriales; Blattabacteriaceae. The record is from RNAcentral.
UGCAAGUCGAGGGGCAGCAUGAAAUUUAUUUAUUUAGAUUUUGAUGGCGACCGGCGGACGGGUGCGUAACACGUAUGUAACCUACCUUUUUCUAGAAAAUAGCCUGAGGAAACUUGGAUUAAUAUUCUAUAAUACAGUAUUUUCGCAUGAAAAUAUUAUUAAAGCAGAAAUGCGGAAAAAGAUGGGCAUGCGCCCGAUUAGUUAGUUGGUGGGGUAAAGGCCUACCAAGACGAUGAUCGGUAGGGGGCCUGAGAGGGUGAUCCCCCACACUGGUACUGAGAUACGGACCAGACUCCUACGGGAGGCAGCAGUGAGGAAUAUUGGUCAAUGGAGGAAACUCUGAACCAGCCACGCCGCGUGCAGGAAGAAUGCCUUAUGGGUUGUAAACUGCUUUUGUUUAGGAAUAAAAAUUUCUACGUGAUAGAAAUUGUGAAGGUACUAAACGAAUAAGUGUCGGCAAACUCCGUGCCAGCAGCCGCGGUAAUACGGAGGACACAAGCGUUAUCCGGAUUUAUUGGGUUUAAAGAGUGCGUAGGCGGUUUAUUAAGUCAGUAGUGAAAUGUUACAGCUUAACUGUUAAAAUGGCUAAUGAUACUGAUAGACUUGAGUGAGAUUGGAGUAACUGGAAUGUGUGGUGUAGCGGUGAAAUGCAUAGAGAUCACACAGAACACCGAUCGCGAAAGCAGGUUACUAAAUCUAUACUGACGCUGAGGUACGAAAGCGUGGGGAGCAAACAGGAUUAGAUACCCUGGUAGUCCACGCCGUAAACGAUGAUCACUAGUCGUUGGAUUUUAUUAUUCAGUGGCUAAGCGAAAGUGAUAAGUGAUCCACCUGGGGAGUACGAUCGCAAGGUUGAAACUCAAAGGAAUUGACGGGGGCCCGCACAAGCGGUGGAGCAUGUGGUUUAAUUCGAUGAUACGCGAGGAACCUUACCAAGGUUUAAAUGUACUACGAAUAAGCUAGAAAUAGUUUAGUCUUCGGACGGAGUACAAGAUGCUGCAUGGUUGUCGUCAGCUCGUGCCGUGAGGUGUUGGGUUAAGUCCCUCAACGAGCGCAACCCUCAUUGUUAGUUGCCAACGAAUAAUGUCGGGGACUCUAGCAAGACUGCCGACGUAAGUCGAGAGGAAGGUGGGGACGACGUCAAAUCAUCACGGCUCUUAUACCUUGGGCUACACACGUGCUACAAUGGUCGGUACAAAGGGUUGCUAUUGAGUAAUCAUAAGCUAAUCUCUAAAAACCGUAUCUCAGUUCGGAUUGGAGUCUGCAACUCGAC